This 76-nucleotide transfer RNA is filed under the name Turicibacter sanguinis. RNAcentral describes it as "tRNA-Thr(tgt)". It matches the Rfam family "tRNA". Rfam says of the family: Transfer RNA (tRNA) molecules are approximately 80 nucleotides in length. Their secondary structure includes four short double-helical elements and three loops (D, anti-codon, and T loops). Further hydrogen bonds mediate the characteristic L-shaped molecular structure. tRNAs have two regions of fundamental functional importance: the anti-codon, which is responsible for specific mRNA codon recognition, and the 3' end, to which the tRNAs corresponding amino acid is attached (by aminoacyl-tRNA synthetases). tRNAs cope with the degeneracy of the genetic code in two manners: having more than one tRNA (with a specific anti-codon) for a particular amino acid; and 'wobble' base-pairing, i.e. permitting non-standard base-pairing at the 3rd anti-codon position. RNAcentral also lists the same sequence under 5 other names. The record is from RNAcentral. Lineage: Bacteria; Bacillati; Bacillota; Erysipelotrichia; Erysipelotrichales; Turicibacteraceae.
GCCGGAAUAGCUCAAUUGGUAGAGCAACUGACUUGUAAUCAGUAGGUUGCGGGUUCAAGUCCUGUUUCCGGCACCA